GAUGAACGCUAGCGGCAGGCUUAAUACAUGCAAGUCGAGGGGCAGCAGGGUGUAGCAAUACAUCGCUGGCGACCGGCAAACGGGUGCGGAACACGUACACAACUUUCCUUUAAGUGGGGAUAGCCCAGAGAAAUUUGGAUUAAUACCCGUAAUAUUAUGAAGUGGCAUCAUUUUAUAAUUAUAGCUCCGGCGCUUGAAGAUGGGUGUGCGGCUGAUUAGGUAGNGGCGGGGUAACGGCCCACCAAGCCUACGAUCAGUAACUGGUGUGAGAGCACGACCAGUCACACGGGCACUGAGACACGGGCCCGACUCUACGGGAGCAGCAGUAAGGAAUAUUGGUCAAUGGACGCAAGUCUGAACCAGCCAUGCCGCGUGAAGGAUGAAGGUCCUCUGG
This 394-nucleotide ribosomal RNA is filed under the name uncultured bacterium. Its description in RNAcentral is "bacterial SSU rRNA". It matches the Rfam family "Bacterial small subunit ribosomal RNA", at positions 28 to 422 of the family's 1533-position model. The record is from RNAcentral.